UACGAAGGGGGCUAGCGUUGCUCGGAAUCACUGGGCGUAAAGCGCACGUAGGCGGAUUGCUAAGUCAGGGGUGAAAUCCUGGAGCUCAACUCCAGAACUGCCCUUGAUACUGACGAUCUCGAGUCCGGGAGAGGUGAGUGGAACUCCGAGUGUAGAGGUGAAAUUCGUAGAUAUUCGGAAGAACACCAGUGGCAAAGGCGGCUCACUGGCCCGGUACUGACGCUGAGGUGCGAAAGCGUGGGGAGCAAUCAGG
RNAcentral lists this ribosomal RNA (253 nucleotides) under uncultured bacterium. RNAcentral's name for it is "partial 16S ribosomal RNA". It matches the Rfam family "Bacterial small subunit ribosomal RNA", at positions 524 to 776 of the family's 1533-position model. The record is from RNAcentral.